GGCCUGGUGGCCUAAUGGUAAGGCGUUGCUUUCCGGUAGAUUUCACAACUGUGGAUUUUUCUGAGUUUGGCAAAGAUUGCGGGUUCGAGUCCCGUCUGGGUCG
This 103-nucleotide transfer RNA is filed under the name Lachnellula suecica. It matches the Rfam family "tRNA". Rfam says of the family: Transfer RNA (tRNA) molecules are approximately 80 nucleotides in length. The record is from Rfam by way of RNAcentral. Lineage: Eukaryota; Fungi; Ascomycota; Leotiomycetes; Helotiales; Lachnaceae.